CAACUCCAUUUUUAAUUGUCAGGGCUCAGUUCCAGCCUUAAUAUCAUCAUCAUUGGAGUCUGUAAGAUUAUGAGCCUUGAAUUCCUGGACCAACUGCCUCUGUACCCUAAUUACAUAUGAUUCCAUGGACAUUCUUGUCCCUCUUCCCCCCAUUUCUUGAUGAACCCAGGCUCUGCUAGGAGCCUGGCCCCAGAUCCAAGAAGACAAUGUCAUAGUACUACUGGCUUCUCAUCGUAUCGGUAUAUCUAGGGGUUAUAUUGAGUAGUUUUAGGGUAAGCAAAUAAAGAUGUGAGACCUUCAGGAAAAAAAGACCCCUACAAAAAUACCUCAUAUUAUUCAGAGGAAUUCAAACCAUAUGUUUCUGCUUCUUUUACUGAUUCUUUUUACAAGUAAACCAUUAAAAUGCACUCCUCUAAGAGCUGUUUGAUGUCCCAAGAGCUCCCAAACAUUUUACAAGCUGUUUUCCUUAGAACCAAAGGAUAUGUUCAACUUACCCAAAAGAUGUGGAAGGCACCCAAAUCUGAAGGAUUCUUUCCCAACCUUUGAAUUAGAUGCAAUAAAUUGCCUGCUUCUAACUCUCCAUGAUGGUUGAAAUUUGUAACUGUCCUUGUGAAACCACUCUGACUUGGUUUCUGGGAGCAUUAGAAAGAGUGUCCAUGGAAGGAACUGAGAGUUUAGGAAUAUUGUGGUGUUUGUAAAUGCGGCCUUUUCUGCUGCUCGAUCCCUUUUUCUGAGCAGGAAGUUGCCUUGAAACAGGCAGAAAACAAUUACAGCCCAACAUUCAUAACCUGCUCAUCUCAAGGAUCCCUCUCUCAUAUUUUCUUUUUCUGUUCUAACCAGCAGAUAAUAAUCAUCUUGCCUCACACAAGAGAUUUAAGUUGGGCAGAUAAAAAAGACCCAUUCCAUCUUCAUCAGCCUGCCCUAUCUUGUUGAAACUCAACUCAUGACUUCAACUUGCUUGUGCAAAAAAGCUUAUUUUUAUCCCAUCUCCACCUUCUGGGGCUUUUAACAGACAUCUUUCCCUCUAGAGGUAUUACUUUUUAUUCUCAAAAAAAAAAAAAAUUCAAUAGCAGCUUCAACAUCUCACUUUGUCUAGAGGUUUAGCCUUUGAAAAUUCCCCAUGAAUUCUCUUUUUUAUGUAUUUUAUUGAGUCAUAAUUGACAUCUAACAUUAUAUUAGUUUCAGGUGCACAACAUAAUGAUUCCAUAUUUGUAUAUAUUAUGAAAGGAUCGCCGUAAGUCUAGUUAACAUCCGUCCACCACACACGAUUACAAAAUUUUUUUCUUGUGAUGAGAACUUCUAAGGCCUACUCUCUUAGCAACUUUUAAAUAUGCAAUAUAGUAUUAUUAAAUGUCAUCACCAUGCUAUACAUGACAUCACCAUGACAUUUCUUUUAUAAGAGGAACCCAUGAAUUCUCUUACUUAAGUCUUCCAAUUUAUUCUUACAAUAGUCCUGGGCAACCUUCUCAGCAUCCUACCAUCCAGUGAAGAUAAAUGAUGCUCCAGAGAAAAGUAAGGAAAAAACUGAAGCCUAGGUUCCUUGAUUUAAAAAUGACUGUAUUAGGGAGUUCCCAUCGUGGUGCUGUGGAAAUGAAUCCAACUAGUAACCAUGAAGGUGCAGGUUUGAUCCCCGGCCUCGCUCAGUGGGUUAAGGAUCUGGCAUUGCCCUGAGCUAUGGUUUAGAUUGCAGAGGCAGCUCGGCUCCCAAGUUGCUGUGGUUGUGAUGUAGACGGGCAGCUAUAGCUCUGAUGUGACCCUUAGCCUGGGUCCACAUGCCACGGGUGCAGCCCUAAAAAGCAAAAUAAAUAAAUAAAUAAAUAAGACAGUAUCUUCUAUUUGGGGACUUUUCAAGCAGAAAAUACUUAAUAGAGCUCCACAACAAAUCUACACCCAUGACUCAAAUCCACCCCCAUGAAUACCUGUGAUUGAUUCAGUUAAUGAAUGAGUGAAUGUUUAGCCCCCUGGGGUGGGGGCUACCUGAGAGGUAGGAAGCCAGAUAACUUAUUUUAAGGUUGGCUCAAUGGGAGAACUAGCCUUUCCAGUGAGUGUGUGAGAAACUCUAAGUCUGAAGGGAGAAUACAAGUAAGGCUGAGCAGGUUCAUUUUACUUUAAGAAAAAACAAAUGAGUCAAAUUAAGAAACUUCUAGAACUGCCUAAUUAUGUACAGCAAAAAAAAAUACCCUUGGGCACCUGGUUCUUUUCACAGUGGAAGAGCUGUUUAGAGAAAAGUCAGUGCUUUGCACUAAUUACUGGUUAUCCAAUCCUUUGCAAAAUGCUCAAUGUUUGCAGUGUCGGAGUGAUUCAAUGUGAAAUAUAGCUUCGGCCAUGCUUUGGUACAGAUGACAAAGAGCACGGGUGUUCUUUCUGGCUCCAGUGAUAGUCCCACCCUCCUCUGCAUCCAUAUCACAGGAAGAAAGUGACUUAGUGAACAAGUAAGCUUCAGGACCUUGCAGAUCCAGGACUGGGUCCUUCUGAGCCCAGUAACGAGCAGUCAAGAGAAUAGCACUGAGUCCUUUUACAAAAAUUCCACCAGCUUCAGCUUAAUAUCCAUUCAUCCAGUCUAAUGUCUCUUGACAAAGAAGGAGAAGUUUUACCGCAGGUGAGGAGUUCUGCUUUCUGUCUGUCAUCCAUCAAAAUCGCCCUCUUAAUCUUCAAGCAUAGGCUCAUACUUGGUCAGUUGUUCUCAAAGUUAGCAGAGAGAAGAAUUACGGAGGUCUUGUUAAAGCACUGAGUGUUGGGUUUCUGACCCUGCAGAGUUUCUGACCCAUCAGGGCUAGAGUGAGCCUGAGAACAUGCAUUACUAACAAGUUCCCAGUGAUCCUGAUGCUGCUUAUCCAGGGACCACACUUUGAAAAGCUUCGAUGUGGGCUUACCCUUUCACCUGUGUUCUUAUUCCCAUUCCUUUUGGCCUCCUUUGAGGAGAACAUUGACCUUAUCCUUACUUCCUCCCUGACUCAGCUUUGAGCACAAAUGGGCAUCUUCUAUGUAAGGACCAUCAUUUAUGUCCUUGACAUUGACAAAAAUAUAUGUAAUAGGGCCCACAUGGAGGUUGCUUGGUUCUCAAGCUUUUACCAACUGACAAAAAAGAUUUGCCACAUAGGUACUUUCCAAACCCCACUGUUACAGCCUCACUACCUUUCAGAAUCGGUCAAAACACAGUUAAGCAAAGUCGAUGGAGAAGUAAGAGACCCUUGUCCAUCUAUCUCUCCAGAUACCACAAAAGAUUAAUUCCUGGCUUAAGCCAAACCAGCUGAGAGGCUCCACCUAACCCCACCUGGCCCCAUGAUAUGCCCUCCUCCAUGCAAGGCUCUGAGACACAGGUUUAGUGACCUGAGCAUUGGGCUGGGCCAUCGUGCUUACCUGGGGCCCUGUAGGAAACUGCCUCUAAUAACACACCUGUGCACUGCAGGAUAUGGCCCAUUACAAUGCUGCAGUCUCAUCACUGUACCACGAGGAAUGUCUCGCAUGAUCUUUACCCAGAACAGCAUCAUGCUUUCCCUGGGCAAAUGGCCCAAUUCUGCCUCAUGGACACUGCAUCUCAUAACUGGCUGUGACUGUCUCUUCUCUUUGGCCACUAGGUUCCUAGGUACCAGCUUUUUGGCCUUCUCUCAGGGGGAAGGCCCACAGAAGUAAACAAAAACACAAACCAUGGCUCCUGUGUGGAUAGAGGCUGCAAGGCCCACAGGAAGGUCAGGGAAAAUGAAUGCCUGAUGUGCCAGAAUCUCCAAGUGUCCAUGGGUCAAUUUCAACAUGCCAGCUGUCCGUCUGAAGAUUUUAUUGUCAUAGACCGUAACCUCAAAGAUCACUUGGCCCUGUCCUCUAGGCUGUUGUCUAGACAUUUGCUGGCUGGACUCUUCCAUCCAACACAGAAACCAGCCCAAGGUUGCAGCUGAAUGACAUUUGAAAGUUGGGCACAACUUGUCUCAACCUGGGUGGCUUUGAUUUUCAAAACUUUUGGAAGAUAAAUAUGAAUAAAAAGCAUCAUCUGUGUGAUAGUCACCGAGAGGCUUUCAAGAGCCAUGUCAGCCUUCAGAGUCACAUCCAGGGAGGAAGGCAGUGGGCUGGGGCCUCUUCUUUCCUUCUCAACUCUCCUUCUGUAAAGGAUACUUUGAGAUCAACUGAUCCUGGGAAGAUUGCUCACUGCAAGGACACAGUCAGCUUUGGUUUCCCAUGACAUUCAUGGACUCCUCUCUUCAAAUAUUUUUUCUUCUACUUCUCACCAGUGCCAAAACCUCUGAUAUAUUCUAUAUUUUGAUUUCUUUUUUCUGUUUUUUGUUUUUUACAUUGUACCCAUGGCAUGCAGAAGUUCCUGGGCCAGGGAUCAAGCACGUGCCACAUCAAUGACCCAAGCGAAAGCAGUGACAAUACUGGCUCCUUAACCCGUUGAGCCACCAGGGAACUCCUGAUAUAUCCUUUUUUUAAAGGGAAGCUCUCUGCUCUGUGGAAAACUGGAGGUUGCAAAUUGGUGUUCCUGAACCAUCCUGAGUAGGCUGCCAAAUCUCCUAGGCCUAGCAAAAUUCAUCAAUGUCAGGCAAAUCAGAGAGCCAGGAUUCCCAAUUAAGACUCCACAUCUGAGAGCAUCAAGGACUUUGGGAGCUCUCAGAAGCUCAAGCCAAAGAUGAACCCCUAGCAAUGGUCAAAUUUUCCAAGGGGAACCCCAUCUCCUGAAAUGAGAGAAGAGUUAGAAGCUCAGUCAGUCAGCACAGAAUUCAUACUGACCUUGAGAAGGAAUGGUGAGAAUAUAUCCACCAUGACUUUCUUAGCCACGUCCAGGCUCUGAGAGCCUAUUUCAUGCACUGUUUAUUCAAGUCCUUUGCAACCAGAGGUUUAUACUCCAAGUUAGGGCUUUUGAAAGCAAAAUAACACAAGCUUUGGCCAUCUCUUUCUCAUCCCGUCUGUGCUCCUCUGAGCCUCAUCCCCUGAAGUCAUGUAUCAGCAACCCAUAUUGAUGCUAAAGUGGUUAAUACUUAAACCAAGUCGAAAGAUGGAUACUGUCUCUGGUUUUAAAGACCUGCAGGAUUCAGCCUUACAUCCUGCCUGCCUGUCCCUAGGUCCCUAAUCCCCAACCAAACCAUGCAGCUCUUAAUGAAAUCUCUGGGCAGGGAAACACCAUGUUUUAACUCUGAAUUUUCUUGAGGGAAAGUGCCUUUCCCUAUCGUCCCCUGUGAAGUCACCCAAACUUUCUUGCUUUUUUCCUAAGUUCCAUCUUUCCAGCCUCUUAAUUAUCUCUGGGAUCAGUCCCAAGAAGGUCUCUGGCUUCUCUAAAUCUCUCCUAAAAGCCUUCCUUUUGUAAUAAAUGCAAGCGAGUUGACACAUUCCUUGGACCAAGAAGUCUCUAGCUUUGCAUGGCCUGCAAUUUU
This 5360-nucleotide long non-coding RNA is filed under the name Sus scrofa (pig). RNAcentral describes it as "lncRNA (ENSSSCG00000062809.1)". The record is from RNAcentral. Lineage: Eukaryota; Metazoa; Chordata; Mammalia; Artiodactyla; Suidae.